GAGUUUGAGCUGCAGGGUGGUGCCCUUCACGGCCGCGAACACGAAGCGGAUGUUCUUCGUGUAGAUGAUCUUGUCGCCGUCGGGGUUCGUGUCCACGAACAUCUUCAGGAUGAACUCCCGCGCCGCCUGGGCGUCCCACUGGGGCCCGUCGAACUCGGGGACGGAGCCCACCAGGUGCGGGUACAGGAUACUGUCCUCCAGCAGGUCCUUCUUGUUGAGGAAGAGGAUGACGGAGUUCUGGAACCAGGGAUAGUUGACGAUGGUCCGGAACAGGGCUUUGCUCUCCUCCAUCGGGUUCUCCUUGUCCGACUCCACCAGAACUUGGUCGUAUUCACCGAGGGCGACGAGAAACAGGAUGGACGUCAGGUUCCCAAAGCAGUGGAUCCGCUUCCUGGAGCCGACCGCUGUCCCCCCACAUCCACCAUCCUGAAGAUGAUGCUCUCCAGGUCGAAAGAUGCCGGUGGUUGGCACGCGGCCCCGCAGCGCGUCCUGCGGGUUGGGCAGGUGGCCCGAGGUGGCGAUGCGGGCAGCGUCCGUCAGGCAGUACUUGGCCAGGUCCGAGAGCUGGCACUGGCGCCUGCGGUCGCAGCACUCCUGGAUGCCGGGGUCGCCCACAGGGGCCUGAUGGCGCUGACGUACCAGUGCUCCAAGGUGGUCGCCUUCUCCAGGUCCGCCUCUCGGAUCAGGAGCCACUGGCCUUGUUCUGCUCCUCCUUGUGGAGGAUCUUCAGCGACUCCUUGGCACGGAUCGUGGCCUGGAUGGCGGUGAAGAUGUUGUGGUAGACGAGCUUGGUGAAGCCGCGCUUGGCCUCCUCCGAGUGGCCGGGGCCCUGGACGAUGCGCGUCUGGUUGAUGAAGAUGCUCUUCCCGCUCUCGCCCUUGCGGAGCAGCAGCAGCUUGAGCUGGCGCCGGGCGUGGCACUUGUCCCCCGCAGCUGCUUCUGGAUCUCGGCGUUGAUCCGCUCCUUCACCUCAUCGCUCAGGCAACACGCCAUCACGGACUCCAGAGUCAUCCCCCCGCCCGGCCGCCGCCCACCGGCCCCCGCCCGGCCCGCCCCGCCUCGGCCGCUGCCUGCGAGCCGCCGGGUCCCCGCUGGGGCAGCGCCAACCGCAGACUCCUUC
Molecule: long non-coding RNA, 1120 nt
Filed under: Piliocolobus tephrosceles (Ugandan red Colobus)
Lineage: Eukaryota; Metazoa; Chordata; Mammalia; Primates; Cercopithecidae
Description: lncRNA (ENSPTEG00000034312.1)
Source: RNAcentral